Oncorhynchus masou masou (cherry salmon) is the source of this 1510-nucleotide long non-coding RNA. RefSeq lists it as uncharacterized. The record is from RefSeq and is a predicted model, not a curated record. Lineage: Eukaryota; Metazoa; Chordata; Actinopteri; Salmoniformes; Salmonidae. The transcript has 3 exons.
UCUCGUAAAGUCAAGUGAGCCAUGACAUAUGAGCUCUUAUUGUGAGCACACAGGACGGUGGCAUCUUUCUAAGGUUUUUUUUAUUUUCCCAGCAAUCAGUACAACCAAGUCAUCGUUAUAAGGCAUCGCCCUCUUUUGCCCACCCCCCCAGCACCAGGUGUGGCCACUAGCCUAUAUGAAGGCCCAAAAUUGUGUGUUCCUUUCUGCUCUGACAAUGGCAUGCCCAUUCGUGCGAGAUGUGGUGGAUGAAGAAGCACUUGUGCUGAGGAGAGCCUUCAGGCGAGAAAGGGUCUUCAGGGACCGGUUGGACCCACUGGCCUUGCCUGAUGACCAUCUAUAUGAAAGAUACAGGUUUUCUGCAGAUGGCAUCAGGUAUCUAUGCAGACUACUGGGUCCCAGGAUUAAGCACCGCACUGCACGGAGCCAUGCACUGAGUGUGGAGCAAAUGGUUUGUGUGGCCUUGCGCUUUUUUGCUAGUGGAGCCUUCCUGUACUCAGUGGGGGAUGCAGAACAGCUGAACAAGGCCACAAUUUGCCGCACAAUAAGGAGUGUGUGUCUGGCUAUCAAAGCAUUAGCAGAUGUCUUCAUCUCCUUCCCUGGCCACAGAAGACUCUGUGACAUCAAAGAGGAGUUCUAUAGGAUUGCAGAUGGUCUGCAAUGCUGACUGUGUGAUCAGCAAUGUUGUGGUGAAAUGGCCUGGCUCAGUCCAUGACUCCAGAAUCUUUCGGGCCUCUGAAAUCUAUCAGUGCCUAUCACAAGGUGAAUUCUCUGGUGUGUUGCUGGGAGACAGGGGGUAUGGCUGCCAGCCUUUUCUCCUGACACCUUUCACAGACCCCCAGGAAGCACAGCAGGCCUACAACCAUGCCCAUGCCAGGACCAGGGCCAGAGUUGAAAUGACCUUUGGCCUCCUGAAGGCACGCUUUCACUGCCUUCACAAAUUAAGGGUCAGCCCUGUUAGGGCAUGUGAUAUUACUGUGGCUUGUGCUGUCCUCCACAAUGUGGCCUGCCUGAGGAAGGAGAGGGCCCCCAGAGUGCCACCAGCCAUGGACUGGGACAAUCCGGCAAUCUUCCCUGAUGACGACUGGUCGGCUACUGAGGGACCAAUAUGUGUUGAAUUAUUUUAGUUAGUAUGUGUGCUUUCAAUUUUGGUUAAAUAUGUCCUGCGGUGGCAGAGGAAUUUGGUUUUUUUUGGGUUCGUUUUUUGACGAAUUCGGCCUCUUAUGAUGUUUGUGCGGUAUACUGUGUGUAAUACAAGGCUGCAGGGAGGCUACCUGCAUCCAUUCAUUUGUCUGUUCAGUUGAUGUGUAUGGAUUUGUCCUGCAUUUAUUUUAGUGUGCAGACAUGCAGGGUGUGUUAUAUACAGACCUUUGAAUGUGUAUGUAUCAUUUUGUAUAAUAUGCUUGGAUUCUGUGCUUUCCAUCUUGUAGAGUCACUGUGACUUCAGUUUCGAAAGGAGCUGAUGGUUUACCUGCUUUGUUUUGUCCUUAUUCAAUAAAGGAACAUAAUGUUA